Molecule: long non-coding RNA, 1825 nt
Filed under: Helianthus annuus (common sunflower)
Lineage: Eukaryota; Viridiplantae; Streptophyta; Magnoliopsida; Asterales; Asteraceae
Source: RNAcentral
GGGUUUCAGCCAAAUCGCCUCUCUCUAAGAAACCUAAUCGACCUCUGUAGUUGAUUUGCAUUUAAUCUCAUCAUUACUUCACUUCAUCUUCCUUCUCUGUGUUCAAUUCUCAUUAUAUCCCCAAGGCCCAAACAAAAGUCUUAGUUAGCAGACAGAAGCUACAAUGAGAAGAAGGUGCUGUCUUCAUCCUUUCAAAUUCCCAUCAUCAGCCCUUUAAUUUGGGAUUGAAGAUUCAUUUUAAGACGCUACAGGGUCAUUCUACUAUGACGAUGGUUGUUCGAUUAGGCACCUGAAGGUCAGCACACAUGUAUGGUUAGGGUUCAGCGGUGGUUGACAGUCUUCUACGAACAGCAAGGGGGUAGGGUUCUGACGAGUCGAACUUGACACGACGAUGGCAAUGGGUGUUGAAUGAUGAGAAAGGUUUAUUAUGCCACCAACUGCUUGAUGAAAUGUGUCAUCCACCUUUGCUGCAAUUGAAUGGCUUACUUAUGCCCACCAACUGCUCGAUGAAAUGUGUCAUCCACCUUUGCUGCAAUUUGUAUGUGCAGAUAUGUAAUUAUAUCAGCAGGUAUUGUCUUUUUAGUGAUGAUUCCAACCUAUUUCAAAGGUUGUUGAAACAUAUCAACCGGGUGUGAUCGUUCUCCAAUGCGGAGCAGAUUCGCUGGGGACCGCUUAGGCUGCUUCAACCUCUCUAUAGACGGACAUGCUGAAUGUGUUAGGAUUGUAAAAAAAAUUGGUUUGCCUCUGCUGGAACGGGAGGUGGAGGAUAUACCAAAGAGAACGUUGCCCGAUGCUGGACUGUUGAAACAUGAGAGCUUUUAGAUACAGAGCAGGCACUUCCUUCGACUAGCAGUCUGCAUCUAUUUUACACAGUGAUGAGUUCAUUCCUUUAUUCCGGGGAAGCACUAGAGUCAAACGUUUGGCUGAUGCUGGAAUGCUUAUGGACGCGUAAGAUCAAUAUAUGUUUAAGUUUCCAACCUCCGCUUCCGAAGACACACCAUCACUCAUCACCUACCACCACUCUCCUCAUCUACCCUUCCACCUUAGAAUCACCAACAUCACCUCCACGAACCUCCACCACAGUCGGACACAGGACACCGAUCACCGGGUUUCACUUAAAACUUUGAUCUUUUCUCGGUUUGUUAAAAAUGAGCUGGUGUACAUUUGCUAAGGGACAUGUAUGAGGGUGUUGUUACCUUCCAGGUACUUCAAAUUUGAGGAUAUUAACUAUUUUAGUGGUGAUGGUGGACAUAUGCAAAGGGACAUGUAUGAAUGUGUUGCUACCUUGCAGUUGCUGGUACUUCCAAUUAGAGGAAUUUAAGUACUGUUCAUAUUACAUCAUUUUUAUUGGUGAUUCUCACGACAAGGCUAUCAACAAGAUUAGUGGUGUCUUCAUGCAAUGUUUCACAUGCUUUGUUGAAUUUUGGUCAUAAACUAUCUACUUGUGAACUUGGUAGUUAAAAUGUUGUAAGCCGAUUCGAAUACCUAAAAUAUGCGUAAUCUUCGACGUAUAUGGAAGGAAGAACUCAGGAAAAGGAAUCUAAUGACCAAAGGAUUGAAAGAAAGUUGUAUGAAACUAUUCGUACUGAAUUAUAUGAGGCUAACCAAACUCAUAACAACGGUGUCUAAAAAAAAAAAAACGAUAUUGACCAGCCUGAUGAUGCAACAGUGGAGUCAAUUGUUUUAGAGAAAAUCACCAGCAUUAUGGAUGAAACCAGUGCCAAAAUGAGAUCUUGGAGAAACAUAACAAGACUGAAAAGUUGUAAAAAAUAAAAGAUAUUGUUGGGCUAUGGACUGGGGGAAUAUUAUUUUGAAUUAAGUAUGG